This is a long non-coding RNA of Lineus longissimus, 282 nucleotides long. RefSeq lists it as uncharacterized. The transcript has 3 exons. NCBI's taxonomy places the organism in Eukaryota, Metazoa, Nemertea, Pilidiophora, Heteronemertea, Lineidae. The record is from RefSeq and is a predicted model, not a curated record.
GUACCCAAAGUAUACUGAAGCCCAAGACAAAGACACCUCCUGUAAAGAAGAAGUCAGUUAAUCAGGGAAGGCCGUCAAGAAUCAACCUCGAUUCAGAUGAAGAGGAGGAAGUGGUAAAAAAUCAUGGUCCCACAAAGAAACGCCAGAUAAUCAGCGACGAUGAAGACAGUGACGACAUAUUUAACAAUGUUGACUUGGAUAAUUUAGUUCCAGAGCCAGAGCCUGUGAAAUCAGACCAGUAUCCACCCCAGACGCUGAUGCUGUUUACAGAAGAUGUGGAUG